This 338-nucleotide unclassified non-coding RNA is filed under the name soil metagenome. RNAcentral describes it as "partial contains 5.8S ribosomal RNA, internal transcribed spacer 2, and large subunit ribosomal RNA". The stretch from base 1 to 119 matches the Rfam family "5.8S ribosomal RNA", at positions 35 to 154 of the family's 154-position model. The record is from RNAcentral.
GAUGAAGAAGUAGCGAAAUGCGAUAAGUAGUGUGAAUUGCAGAAUUCAGUGAAUCAUCGAAUCUUUGAACGCACAUUGCGCCCCUCGGUAUUCCGUGGGGCAUGCCUGUUCGAGCGUCAUUUAACCCCUCAAGCCUAGCUUGGUAUUGGGUGCUUGUCCCGCCUCUCGCGCGGCGACUCACCUCAAAGUCAUUGGCAGCCCGCAUCUCGCCGGCCGUGAGCGCAGCACAGACGCGCUCUUGGCAACGACGGAUCGGCUCUCCAAAAGCUUAUUUCAACCACUGACCUCGGAUCAGGUAGGGAUACCCGCUGAACUUAAGCAUAUCAAUAAGCGGAGGA